Molecule: ribosomal RNA, 492 nt
Filed under: uncultured bacterium
Lineage: Bacteria
Description: partial 16S ribosomal RNA
Rfam family: Bacterial small subunit ribosomal RNA
Source: RNAcentral
AUUGAACGCUGGCGGCAUGCUUUACACAUGCAAGUCGAACGGUAACAGUCCUUCGGGUGCUGACGAGUGGCGAACGGGUGAGUAAUGCAUCGGAACGUACCCAGAGGUGGGGGAUAACGCAGCGAAAGCUGUGCUAAUACCGCAUGUGAUCUGAGGAUGAAAGCGGGGGACCGAGCAGCAAUGUUUGGCCUCGCGCCUUUGGAGCGGCCGAUGUCGGAUUAGCUAGUUGGUGGGGUAAAGGCCUACCAAGGCGACGAUCCGUAGCUGGUCUGAGAGGACGACCAGCCACACUGGGACUGAGACACGGCCCAGACUCCUACGGGAGGCAGCAGUGGGGAAUUUUGGACAAUGGGCGCAAGCCUGAUCCAGCAAUGCCGCGUGCGGGAAGAAGGCCUUCGGGUUGUAAACCGCUUUUGGCAGGAACGAAACGGUGUCCGCUAAUACCGGGCGCUAAUGACGGUACCUGCAGAAUAAGCACCGGCUAACUACGUG